UUGACUCGAUAUGAUUCCUUUCGUUUGUUUUAUACCUAGAUUUUGUGACAGUUUUUGAUUUGUAUGUGUACAUUUAAAAAGUUGGCGAAAAUAUUAGUAUUACGAUCAAUGAACCGGUUCUAUAAUCAAAAAACGUCUCGUUUCGGUCACUAACAGUUUUUUUGAACGAAGGAACCGGGAAAGUUUCAGUAAUUAAGUAUAAUAAAGUUUUUUUUUUGAUAAUAUUCAAUGCAUGCAUGCAUACGUUUAUGAUGAUCGUUCAGCCUUUUUUCAAUAAAAUGUACAAGUUUACUUUGUAAAUAUUAAACAUGACUGCCAGUUG
Molecule: unclassified non-coding RNA, 322 nt
Filed under: Melitaea cinxia (Glanville fritillary)
Lineage: Eukaryota; Metazoa; Arthropoda; Insecta; Lepidoptera; Nymphalidae
Description: misc RNA ENSMCXG00005021846.1
Source: RNAcentral